Molecule: ribosomal RNA, 253 nt
Filed under: uncultured bacterium
Lineage: Bacteria
Description: partial 16S ribosomal RNA
Rfam family: Bacterial small subunit ribosomal RNA
Source: RNAcentral
UACAGAGACUGCAAGCGUUAUUCGGAUUCACUGGGCUUAAAGGGUGCGCAGGCGGCCAAGUGUGUCAGGCGUGAAAUCCCGAGGCUCAACCCCGGAACUGCGCCUGAAACUACUUGGCUAGAGUACUGGAGAGGGUAACGGAAUUCACGGUGUAGCAGUGAAAUGCGUAGAGAUCGUGAGGAACACCAGAGGCGAAGGCGGUUAUCUGGACAGUUACUGACGCUCAGGCACGAAAGCGUGGGGAGCAAAAGGG